RNAcentral lists this unclassified non-coding RNA (976 nucleotides) under Hevea brasiliensis (rubber tree). The record is from RNAcentral. Lineage: Eukaryota; Viridiplantae; Streptophyta; Magnoliopsida; Malpighiales; Euphorbiaceae.
ACCCGUCUGAGAUAGAUUUACCAGCCAAUAUACUAUUAAGGCUGCAAUUUUGAGGAGCAAUUCAUCUCAGGCUAUAUUAUAUUAGACUUCCUCCAUCUGUGUUUCCUCAUUUGUGCUUUCAGAUGGCACACCAUUUUCAUCAUUUGGACUAAUUUUUGCAUCUCUCUCCCCAUUUCGUUGGCUCUGAAGAGGCAAAUCUCCAUUUUGACCACUUUCAAUGCCAUCCAUCUCUUGAGCUUCCUCUGACUUGCUUUCAUGCAGCGUAUCAUCCACAGCACCAUUUGCAGGUGCAGACAUAUUGGAUGAAUGGUAUUGCUCAAACUGAUAGUUCAUCAGCCUUGCCUGAUAUAAUUGAUUCAUUUUAUCAAUUACGAUGUGGCCCAUUUCCUCAACACCACUGACAAGAUAGGGCUGUCCAAUAUCUUCAACAGGACGUUCUAUAUACGAUGAAAUCUCAUUCAAAUUCAGUGCAAGGUGGUCAGGUCUCUGAAGCAAAAGUUGAAAUGUAGGUUGCAAUUCAUAGCAUUGUUCAAAUAGAGAUCGUCGGCAGAACACAUAAAGUCCAAGUCGGGCACGAGACAUGGCAACAACCAAUCUUCUAACAUCACGAAGGUGACCCACAAAGCGAGUACGUACAAGAGAAAGCAAAAUAAAAUCAUUCUGCUGCCCUUGAAACUUAUCAACUGUUGUAACCUUACUAGGUGGACCAAUGAAGUCAUAUGGAACACAUCGUCUAUUAAUAACAUCACGAAUAAGAAGCUUCUGGCCAUUGUAAGUAGUCAAGAUGGAAAUCUUGUUUGCAGGAUAUCCUAAUAAACGCAUGUAGAUGUAGACACUGACAACAUAUUCAGCCUCUCCCUCAUUCUGGUAGAACCAAGGAGAAGGGGCAGUCUCACCUCUGCCAUGGUAAUCAGGUACAUCCACUAACUGAUAUUCAUAAGAGAAUCCAGCAUUAGCUUUAUGGAAGAUGGCCCCC